CUGGGUUUCAGCGGGGCCGCCCCUCAGACUGGGGUGUCAGGGCAUUUAUGUGGCUGACAGUUUCCUAGCUGACAUCAUUGCUAUGAGCCUGUGUUCUGCACAUCAAAGAGGUGUCAGGUCAAGGUUAACCAGGUCCUGAGGCAGCCUCGAGUUGCCUCCGGGGCCUCCAAUGUGGCCAGGAAGGCAGGCCUUUGAUCCAGUGGAUUGUUCUCGAAAACAACCAGGCCCAAGGCCGCUGGUCCCUUCAGGCUCAGGGGAACACCUCCUGAAUCUUAAACGAUGCUCCCUUGGAACCUGAAUGCAAAGAACUCAAGGGGGAAAUUUUUAGGCCGGGAGGAAGGCUCGGUCAGCUGCCUGCCCGGUCAGCCUGGCAGGACACCCAGAGUCCAAAGGGAGAGAAUUCAGACAAAUCAGGGCAAGGCUUACAAUGGGCCAGAUCAGCAGGGUCCCGGGAAAGAAUUCACUUCCUUCCAGCCGCUGGCACCAGUUGAGAAGGGCGCCACGUGAAUGGUCAGCUGUGGGGAGCUCAGGAGGCCACCCCCCACCGGCCCCGGCUCAGUGGACUUUUUCAUCUCGGUUCAAGAGCCCUGUCCCGGGCCCUUUCACACCCACCAGAUGAUGACUUACCAGCCCAGGCCAGGCUGCAGAGCGCGGCCACGAUCAGGGGCACACAGGCCCUCAUGGUGCCCGGUUGGAAGCCCCAAGUGGAUUGGCUCUGGGACUUUCACUAGAGUCAGGGCCAAGAGCAGAAGCACAGCAACAUGGGGCUGCCAAGUUUCCCCUCCUAGAAAGGUAAAAUCUGCUAAGUGAAAUGCCCUUUCCAGAAAGAGCACUGCGUGGACAUUCAGACUUCAGUAAAAGAGAACUCUCACAUAAAAAGGCAAAAUUGA
Long non-coding RNA from Canis lupus familiaris (dog), 890 nucleotides. RefSeq lists it as uncharacterized. The transcript is spliced from 3 exons. NCBI's taxonomy places the organism in Eukaryota, Metazoa, Chordata, Mammalia, Carnivora, Canidae. The record is from RefSeq and is a predicted model, not a curated record.